GAUGAACGCUGGCGGCGUGCCUAAAACAUGCAAGUCGAACGGUAACAGGUUAAGCUGACGAGUGGCGAACGGGUGAGUAAUAUAUCGGAACGUGCCCAGCCGUGGGGGAUAACGUAGCGAAAGCUACGCUAAUACCGCAUACGAUCUACGGAUGAAAGCGGGGGAUCGCAAGACCUCGCGCGACUGGAGCGGCCGAUAUCAGAUUAGCUAGUUGGUGGGGUAAAAGCUCACCAAGGCGACGAUCUGUAGCUGGUCUGAGAGGACGACCAGCCACACUGGAACUGAGACACGGUCCAGACUCCUACGGGAGGCAGCAGUGGGGAAUUUUGGACAAUGGGCGCAAGCCUGAUCCAGCAAUGCCGCGUGCAGGAUGAAGGCCUUCGGGUUGUAAACUGCUUUUGUACGGAACGAAACGGCGAGCUCUAAUACAGUUUGCUAAUGACGGUACCGUAAGAAUAAGCACCGGCUAACUACGUGCCAGCAGCCGCGGUAA
RNAcentral lists this ribosomal RNA (493 nucleotides) under uncultured bacterium. RNAcentral describes it as "partial 16S ribosomal RNA". It matches the Rfam family "Bacterial small subunit ribosomal RNA", at positions 28 to 523 of the family's 1533-position model. The record is from RNAcentral.